GUCGAGAAUCAUUCGCAAUGGGCGAAAGCCUGACGAUGCGACGCCGUGUGAACGAUGAAGGCCUUCGGGUUGUAAAGUUCUUUCGCUUGGGAACAAGAGAGGCUGACGAAUAAUCAGCUAAUUUGGGCGUACCAGGUAAAGAAGCACCGGCUAACUCCGUGCCAGCAGCUGCGGUAAUACGGAGGGUGCAAGCAUUAAUCGGAUUUAUUGGGCGUAAAGGGCGCGUAGGCGGGAAGAUAAGUCGGAUGUGAAAGCCCAGGGCUCAACCCUGGAAUUGCAUUCGAAACUGUUUUUCUAGAGGGUAGGCGGAGAAAACAGAAUUCCACAUGUAGCGGUGAAAUGCGUAGAUAUGUGGAGGAAUACCGGUGGCGAAGGCAAUCCCCUGGGCCUGCACUGACGCUCAUGCACGAAAGCGUGGGGAGCAAACAGGAUUAGAUACCCUUGUAGUCC
RNAcentral lists this ribosomal RNA (450 nucleotides) under uncultured bacterium. RNAcentral describes it as "partial 16S ribosomal RNA". It matches the Rfam family "Bacterial small subunit ribosomal RNA", at positions 354 to 796 of the family's 1533-position model. The record is from RNAcentral.